Molecule: ribosomal RNA, 253 nt
Filed under: uncultured bacterium
Lineage: Bacteria
Description: partial 16S ribosomal RNA
Rfam family: Bacterial small subunit ribosomal RNA
Source: RNAcentral
UACGGAGGGGGCUAGCGUUGUUCGGAAUUACUGGGCGUAAAGCGCACGUAGGCGGCUUUGUAAGUUAGAGGUGAAAGCCUGGGGCUCAACUCCAGAACUGCCUUUAAGACUGCAUCGCUUGAACACGGGAGAGGUGAGUGGAAUUCCGAGUGUAGAGGUGAAAUUCGUAGAUAUUCGGAAGAACACCAGUGGCGAAGGCGGCUCACUGGCCCGGUACUGACGCUGAGGUGCGAAAGCGUGGGGAGCAAACAGG